UACAGAGGGGGCGAGCGUUAUUCGGAAUUAUUGGGCGUAAAGGGCGCGUAGGCGGCUUUUCAAGUGACGGGUGAAAUCCCUCGGCUUAACCGAGGAACUGCCUGUCAGACUGGAAGGCUUGAGACCGGGAGAGGUGAGUGGAAUUCCCAGUGUAGCGGUGAAAUGCGUAGAUAUUGGGAGGAACACCAGUGGCGAAGGCGGCUCACUGGACCGGAACUGACGCUGAGGCGCGAAAGCGUGGGGAGCGAACAGG
Molecule: ribosomal RNA, 253 nt
Filed under: uncultured bacterium
Lineage: Bacteria
Description: partial 16S ribosomal RNA
Rfam family: Bacterial small subunit ribosomal RNA
Source: RNAcentral